UACGAAGGUGGCAAGCGUUACUCGGAAUUACUAGGCGUAAAGGGCAGGUAGGUGGUUUGGUAAGUCUGUUGUGAAAGCUCCUUGCUCAACGAGGAGAGGUCAACAGAUACUGCCAGGCUUGAGUAUGGGAGAGGGUACUGGAAUUCCCGGUGUAGCGGUGAAAUGCGCAGAGAUCGGGAGGAACACCAAUGGCGAAAGCAGGUACCUGGACCAUUACUGACACUCAGCUGCGAAAGCUAGGGGAGCAAACAGG
Molecule: ribosomal RNA, 253 nt
Filed under: uncultured bacterium
Lineage: Bacteria
Description: partial 16S ribosomal RNA
Rfam family: Bacterial small subunit ribosomal RNA
Source: RNAcentral